This 834-nucleotide ribosomal RNA is filed under the name uncultured bacterium. RNAcentral's name for it is "bacterial SSU rRNA". It matches the Rfam family "Bacterial small subunit ribosomal RNA", at positions 8 to 841 of the family's 1533-position model. The record is from RNAcentral.
AGAGUUUGAUCCUGGCUCAGGAUGAACGCUGGCGGCGUGCCUAACACAUGCAAGUCGAGCGAAGCGCUGUUUUCAGAAUCUUCGGAGGAAGAGGACAGUGACUGAGCGGCGGACGGGUGAGUAACGCGUGGGCAACCUGCCUCAUACAGGGGGAUAACAGUUAGAAAUGACUGCUAAUACCGCAUAAGCGCACAGGACCGCAUGGUGUAGUGUGAAAAACUCCGGUGGUAUGAGAUGGACCCGCGUCUGAUUAGGUAGUUGGUGGGGUAAAGGCCUACCAAGCCGACGAUCAGUAGCCGACCUGAGAGGGUGACCGGCCACAUUGGGACUGAGACACGGCCCAAACUCCUACGGGAGGCAGCAGUGGGGAAUAUUGCACAAUGGGGGAAACCCUGAUGCAGCGACGCCGCGUGAAGGAAGAAGUAUUUCGGUAUGUAAACUUCUAUCAGCAGGGAAGAAAAUGACGGUACCUGAGUAAGAAGCACCGGCUAAAUACGUGCCAGCAGCCGCGGUAAUACGUAUGGUGCAAGCGUUAUCCGGAUUUACUGGGUGUAAAGGGAGCGUAGACGGAUAGGCAAGUCUGGAGUGAAAACCCAGGGCUCAACCCUGGGACUGCUUUGGAAACUGCAGAUCUGGAGUGCCGGAGAGGUAAGCGGAAUUCCUAGUGUAGCGGUGAAAUGCGUAGAUAUUAGGAGGAACACCAGUGGCGAAGGCGGCUUACUGGACGGUGACUGACGUUGAGGCUCGAAAGCGUGGGGAGCAAACAGGAUUAGAUACCCUGGUAGUCCACGCCGUAAACGAUGACCUACUAGGGGUCGGUGUGGCAAGCACAUC